Molecule: unclassified non-coding RNA, 181 nt
Organism: Chelonoidis abingdonii (Abingdon island giant tortoise)
Lineage: Eukaryota; Metazoa; Chordata; Testudines; Testudinidae
Source: Ensembl
UUGAUAGUCAUAGGGUCUAAAGUCCUUUGUUUAUCCUCAGAACAGGCAUUCUGUGGACAGUGACAGGGCAUGCUGCUGUACACCCUCCUGUCAAUGUGUCUCAAUCCUGCCCUGAAGCGACCACCUCUAGGAGUGAAAAGGAGACUUCAGUCUCAUAGACCCAGUCUCACCUUCUGCUUGC